Long non-coding RNA from Musa acuminata AAA Group (dessert banana), 1931 nucleotides. RefSeq lists it as uncharacterized. Lineage: Eukaryota; Viridiplantae; Streptophyta; Magnoliopsida; Zingiberales; Musaceae. The transcript is spliced from 4 exons. The record is from RefSeq and is a predicted model, not a curated record.
CCCCAUCGUUCAAACCCUCCCUCCCCGGCCUUUUCCCGGCUAGGGUUUCUGACCGCCCUUCCGUCUCCCGUCGCCAUGGAGAGUUCCUCCUGAUCUUUCGAUUCGAUCUGUUGACCCAUGAUUUAUUGUUUUCCCUUCUGAUUCGUGUCUUUGAUUGGUGAAACUCCGUGAAUAGCCCACAAGCGAUCGAAUUUUACCCCAGAGGUUUUGGGUCUUGAAGGAAGAAUGUUUGCCAGGAAUCGUUGUGCGGAGAAGGUGCUGAUGACGAAGAUGUAAGCAUCCUUUGCAUCGUCCUUGAAGUUUGAUUUCCUAAACUUGUGUUAGCAAUGUAGGUAUGUUUGUGCUGUUUCUUUUAUGGUUUUUAGUUCAAGUCAUUGAGCCCUCAUAUUCGCUUUACUAAGCCCAAUGUAUGAGGGAGGGGAAUUGAAUACUGAGAUACAACUGAAUAAAAGAGCUUCCUUUAUGAGCAGUUAUGUUGCUUGACAUACGCCAAUCAAGAAUGUUAAAUUACUAUCUGCAGCUAAUAGACAAAUCAAGCAACCAACUUUUUAUAGCAUUGUGAUCCUGAGCAGGUAUUUUUACCAUAUUACAAAAAUGUGACCAUGUUUGGCGUUGCUGAUUACCAUCUUUGUAUAUUUAUACAUUAAUUGUGUCCAGAGACAUGUCGGAUUUGUAGGACAAAAAUGGAGAAUUUGCUUAUUCAGGAUUGUUGAUUUAACGGACGACUAGCUUAAUCGAAGCAAAAUUGAACAAUUUCUUUCUGUUUGGUCCUUCCCAGUCUCGCUAUUCAUGAUGAAUCAUCAAGUAGGUGUAAUUGUUCCUCUGGAGGCUAAUAGACGAAUUAAGUAGCCAACUUUUUUCUAGCAUUGUGAUCCUGAACAGGUCAUUCUAUCAUUUUAAAAUGGGUUCAUGUUUGCCAUUGCUGAUAACUGUCAUUGUAUUUGUAGACAUGUUAUUGUAUCCAGAAGCAUGUUGGAUUCAUAGGACAGUGUUAGUGUAAACAACUUUGUGCCGUGGCCUUGGGGCCGACGCGGCUUGUGUCGGGUUCGAAUGGCAGGGAUCUCGUCGUCACUGAAGUGGCGGGCGUCGCAGAUCAGACCGUGUCGAGCUUGAUCGGGGUGUUCCGUAGAGGAGGCCUCCUUUGCUUUGCCUCCCGAGGGCGCUAACCUCGUCUUCUCAUCUGCACACAAGUCGGGUCGAGGGGCUCAGCCCGACCCCUUUGACGAUCAAGGAGCGGGUUGCGUCUGACACUGGUGUUGGCGUGGCGUGAAUGAUCGAGUCUGAACAGAUCGUUAAUGGGUCUCAGUCUACGUUCUGUUUCGUUUGACCAGGUUCCAUCGGGUAGGUUGAGGUGUGAGACGUCGUCUGGGACAGCUGACGUCUGCGCAGGUCUUGUCACCAUUUAUUACCCUCAUCAGACAGUAAUGGCUUGCUGUCCAUGAUGAAUCAUCAAAUCUCCAUUAGGUGGUCGACAAGGUUCAUGAUGAAGCUACUCCUGCAUCUUUUAGAUUGGGAUACGACAACAUGGAAAAAGGUUUCUUAUCCUUUUAAAAUAUGCCCAAUUGAAAGGUCCCCUUACCAAUGGUGAGCUUGCUUUUAAAAUAUGCCCAACACAUGAUUUUAGUUUCACUUUAGAAAAUAGCCCCUAGGCCUAUCUAAGAUCUCUCUAGAUCAGUCAAAUGAUUUCUCAACAUCCUCUCUUUGACGUUGAAUGUGUGCCUGCAAUUGUGCAUGCAUCCAUCAUGUGGUAGACUUAAGAGCCUCACCUUUAAGUACAGUCAUGGCCAAUUAGCCAUUCUUUUGAUUGUCCUUGUAUCAUCAUGGAGAGAAUAGUCUUCUUUUUUUAUACAGAAAUAGAUCAUUUUUCGUGGGACAGUGUACACAGUGAUUAAAGUUGCCCUUUCAUUUGCUUCUGAAUCUUAUUAUAAAAU